UCCGGUUUGUCACCGGCAGUCUCAUUAGAGUGCCCUUUCGUAGCAACUAAUGACAAGGGUUGCGCUCGUUGCGGGACUUAACCCAACAUCUCACGACACGAGCUGACGACAGCCAUGCAGCACCUGUGUACUGGCUCCCUUUCGGGCACCCUCCAAUCUCUCGGAGGUUCCAGCCAUGUCAAGGGUAGGUAAGGUUUUUCGCGUUGCAUCGAAUUAAUCCACAUAAUCCACCGCUUGUGCGGGUCCCCGUCAAUUCCUUUGAGUUUUAACCUUGCGGCCGUACUCCCCAGGCGGUCAACUUCACGCGUUAGCUUCGUUACCAAGGGAGUUAAUCCCCCGACAACCAGUUGACAUAGUUUAGGGCGUGGACUAC
RNAcentral lists this unclassified non-coding RNA (373 nucleotides) under uncultured Gammaproteobacteria bacterium. Its description in RNAcentral is "contains 16S-23S intergenic spacer region". The record is from RNAcentral. Lineage: Bacteria; Pseudomonadati; Pseudomonadota; Gammaproteobacteria.